UCAGGACGAACGCUGGCGGCGUGCCUAAUACAUGCAAGUCGAACGGUCUUUCUAUGGAAGCUUGCUUCCACUGAGAAGAUAGUGGCGAACGGGUGAGUAACACGUGGGUAACCUGCCCAUAAGAGGGGGAUAACAUCCGGAAACGGGUGCUAAUACCGCAUAGUUUUCUUGAUCGCAUGAUUGAGAAAGGAAAGACGGCCUUUGUGCUGUCGCUUAUGGAUGGACCCGCGGCGUAUUAGUUAGUUGGUGAGGUAACGGCUCACCAAGACGACGAUACGUAGCCGACCUGAGAGGGUGAUCGGCCACAUUGGGACUGAGACACGGCCCAAACUCCUACGGGAGGCAGCAGUAGGGAAUCUUCCGCAAUGGACGAAAGUCUGACGGAGCAACGCCGCGUGAGUGAAGAAAGGUUUUCGGAUCGUAAAACUCUGUUGUCAGAGAAGAACAAGUUGGAGAGUAACUGCUCCAGCCUUGACGGUAUCUGACCAGAAAGCCACGGCUAACUACGUGCCAGCCGCGGC
This 521-nucleotide ribosomal RNA is filed under the name uncultured bacterium. RNAcentral's name for it is "bacterial SSU rRNA". It matches the Rfam family "Bacterial small subunit ribosomal RNA", at positions 24 to 518 of the family's 1533-position model. The record is from RNAcentral.